UCAACACAUUCCACUAAGUUAUUACAACCUGUGCUUAUUUAUGUAUUUAUUAAUUCAAGUGUGUGUCGCUGUUGAAUCUAUGCAGCAACUAGGUGUUUUGGGUAAGCCCCUGUCUUUGAGUUCUAUCAAAAUACAUGAAAGGAAAUGGGAGUCUUGCUGUUUUAUUACAUAUUAGAGCAGCGGUCGGCAACCUUUGAGAAGUGGCAUGCCAAGUCUUCAGUAAUUUCGAGGAUUCGCGUGCCAGUAAUAAAUUUUACAUUUACAGGGGCCCCUCGACAGAACCCCUGACUGGCAGAGGGCUGAGCGGGGCAGCGGCAGGGACCCCAGCUGGCAGGGGCCGGUGGACGGAACCCCAGACCACAGCUCCUGCCAGCCAGGGUCCCAGCCCCCAGCGCCACUCAGCCCGCGGCCGUCCCCAGGUUCCGUCUAUCCAGGCCGGCAGCAGGAUGAGUGGGGCCAGCGGCCAGGACCGCAGACCGUCAGUGCAGGCAGCAGACGGAACCCCAGCCCGUGUUCCAGGGAGCGUGGGCAGCAGACUCGGUCUGAAGCAGUCAAUCUACCAAGCUGUGAGUGAAGAUGAGGAAAUGAACAAGGAACUACAACAGAAACUA
Molecule: non-coding RNA, 611 nt
Organism: Chrysemys picta bellii (western painted turtle)
Lineage: Eukaryota; Metazoa; Chordata; Testudines; Emydidae
Source: RefSeq, a predicted model, not a curated record